UACGAAGGGGGCUAGCGUUGCUCGGAAUUACUGGGCGUAAAGGGCGCGUAGGCGGAUGUUUAAGUCGGGGGUGAAAGCCCGGGGCUCAACCUCGGAAUUGCCUUCGAUACUGGACAUCUUGAGUACGGGAGAGGUGAGUGGAACUCCGAGUGUAGAGGUGAAAUUCGUAGAUAUUCGGAAGAACACCAGUGGCGAAGGCGACUCACUGGCCCGUUACUGACGCUGAGGCGCGAAAGCUAGGGGAGCAAACAGG
Molecule: ribosomal RNA, 253 nt
Filed under: uncultured bacterium
Lineage: Bacteria
Description: partial 16S ribosomal RNA
Rfam family: Bacterial small subunit ribosomal RNA
Source: RNAcentral